AAUGUGCGUGUGCGCGGCCCUCGAGCACCGCCUGCGCGGCGCCGAUUGGCCGGGGGCGCGCGGCGGGGGAAGCCCUUGGCUAAUCUCCUGCCACUCAGCCCGGUCGACGUCGGCGCCGGGGCCGCAGCGCGGCGCGCGGAAGGACAAAUAGUCCCCGCGGCGGCACCGCGCGCCCCUCCACGGCUCGCCUCGCCCCGCCCGGGGCUGCCGGGGCCCGGAGGCCCGGGCAGGCAGGGGGAGGGGCGGCCUCUGCGGCUGCUCGACCCCCGCUCCCCUCUUCGCGGCCUGAUGAGUGGAUUGCCCUCCCUUGGGAAAAGUAAUUGGAUUCCCGGCUCCCUCCAGCCGGGAUGGGCGGAAAUCGGAGGCUGAGCGUGCAGGCCCCGGUAGAAAGCUGGGUGGUAAGGAAGGAUCAACGGAGGUUACCCCUGGUGCCGCAACCACCUGGCACGUGACUCUUGCCCCUCCAAGUUGUCAUCAUUCUGAAAUUCACCUGGCUGCUGAUCUCCGGGAAGAGAGAUACUUUGGAACGUUUGGGUCUUCCAGCCACCACCGCCUCGUUUUUCUCUCAGAGCUCUACUUGGAGCUAAGAUGGAGAAAGAGCCCUGACAAAUCUGGGAUCGGAGAUAAUUCUUGCUAACGGGGGUACCUCGGGAGAAAAUAACAUUCUCACCAGAAUCAUCCAGGAAGGUAUCUCAGGUCCUUGCUUUAGUAUUAGCGAACUUCCCUAAAUUGUUUUUCCUCUGGGGAGAUGGAGCAGAAGUGGGAGCCUUAAGCAGUUUAUGGCCGAAAUGAUAGUAGUGUACUAGGAAUUUAAGUGACUAACUCAUCCCUCUUGUGAUUUUUUUUUUCGCCUUAUUUACUGUACUUCACUCAUUCAUUCGUCUUCAAACAAGCUUUAAUUGGGGGCUUUCUAUGUGCCAUUCUCUGAUGUACUUCCCAGAGAUACAUCAGUGAAUAAAGGAAGUCCCUGCACUCAUGGAAUCUCAUUACAUUUCAGACAAUACAUGUACAAACAUAUACAAUAUAAUGUCACGUAGUGAUGAAUGCCAUGAGGACAAAACAGAGUAAAAGGACAAAGAUACAGGUGAGAGUAGUAGAGUAGUGUACUACUUUAGGUAAAUUGAUCUAGAAAGUCCUCUUUGAUGAAGUUAUGUUCAAAACAGCGGUCUGAAUGAAAUAAGGGAGAAAGCCAAGCAAAUGUCUGGGGGAAGGAACUUUCCAGGCAGAGAAAAGAACAAGUACAAAGGCUCUCAGGCCAGAGUGAUUGGGGAGCUUGAAUUAGUGGGAAGAAAGGAGGCUAACAUGAAUGCUAUGCAAUGAGCAGGAAAACAGAGAUGGUCCUUCUGACGUCCUUCUUCCUCUGCUCCGAUCUAACCCAUCAGAAUAAUCAUUCUAAAUCUUCAUUUUUUGUACAUCUCUUUGUGCUUUGAUAGUUUCAUGGCUAUAUUUUCUAUUCCAUUAAAUUUAAAUUCUUCUGACUGAUUGUUAAGGUCUUUCCCCAAUCUAGUUCCCUCUUAACCUGUGAACCAUGUUUCAGUCUACUCCUUUAGUUCUAGUUAGGUCUGUCUCUCAGGUAUAUUCAUGUUCACUUAUUCUUAUGUAUAUUUGUUUAUGGAUCUACCCUCACACAACAGUAUUGAUUCAGUAAGGAUGUAUGGUUGCAAGUAACAUAAAAUCCAACUCAAACUGGCUUAAAUAGAAAAGGGAAUUUAUUGGCUCACAUAACUGAAUACUUCAAGAUAGUUUUGUUAGACAUGGCUUGGCUGAAGAGUUCAAAUUAUGUUGUCAAGAUUUGGAUUCUCCCUGACAUGUUAGCUCUUUGCUCUGCUGUUGGCUUCAUUCUCAAGCCCCACAAAUGAACAACCAGCAACUCUAAGCUCACACUAUCCUCACUACCAGCAAAGGUGAAGAACCUAUUCCUAAACCAAUCACUGUUGCUAGAGAAAGAGAUGCUCAGAUUGGCUUGCACUGAUUGACAAGCCCAUCUCAAAAGUUGAGUCUAUCAGUAACACAUGAAUGGCACAAGAAGGUGCUUUUAGGAAAAUAGGAGUAUGGUUAACAGAGGAAGGUUAGAUAUGUCCUGGGUAAUGAGAACAGCAGACAUACCACACACCCCUGUUCUUCUCUUGAUUCUUCUCAAACAUUCUUCCACUACAUACGCCUUCAAAAUGUUUAUGCCUAUUCAAUGCAAUAAUAUUAUUUACCACCAAAAAUAUGCUCACUUCCUCCCCAAAGAGAGAUGAUCCAAAUUCUCAUGUAGUUACUGAAGAUAACUCCCAAGUGCAGGACAGGAGGGUAAUAAGCAUGUUUCUCUAUUAUACAACAAUAUAGUUCCUCAAGGUCUAGUAACCUAAGGCUACAAGAUAAAAUUAGCUACAAAAAAAAAAAAUAGCUACAAAAUACUUAAUACAUAAUGACAGAAAAAGAAAAAACCUGCAACAAAAACUCAUAUUUGGAAAAAUGACUAAUGGCAAACACAUAGUGGUCUUUAAUUCAUAGCAUAUAUCAUGCUGGACAGAAACACCAAGGGCUUCCUACCAUGAGAGAGGAGAAAGUUCUUUGAUCAACACAUCUGGCUGCCAUAUGUUCAACUAUUGGAGAAUCUCUCAUCCAUUGUUCCUCCAUGCCAUAUCUGUAAUGGACAGUGGGGAGUAUAAUCCUUCUAGGGACCACACCUCUUCAACAUUCUCUUUCCUGAUAUAGUGGCAAUUGAAAAAAAAAAAACAACAAAUUUGCUAUUACAGAGAUAAUUAACUUUUACUACCAAAUAGCUGUGAUCCUCUUCUGUUAUGUAGAAUUGUUGCUAGGAAGUAGCUGCAUAGGCAGGGACUACAUUCUCCAGCUUCUAUUAAUCUUGGCAAAGUCUUACAAUUAUCUCCUUUGGAAUAUGAGUGGAAGUGACAUGAAUCCCUUCUUGCCAAUGUGGUUAAGAACUCGGUAUGUCUUCUAUGGUUUCUUUUUCUUCCUCUAGCUGCACUGAGAGGACGCUAAGACCCUAGAGAAUAGUCUUAAGAGAGCCAUGAGAUAGAAGGAGUCUGGGUAGCUGAAUGACCUUGUAGAAGGCCACUUUCUAAUCAGGAAUACCGAUAUCGGACUUUGCAAAAGUGAAAAAUAAACAUCGGUAGUGUUAAGCCAAUCAAACUUCUGCACUAUGUGUUACAACACUUAGUGCUAACCCUAAUAACUAGCCUUUAUUCUCCAGACUUAGGAUUUCUCUCACCAUACAAUUUAUUUUACUUUUUUUUUUUUUUUUAAGUAGGCUCUAUGCCCAAUGUGGGUCUUGAACUCAUGACCCUGAGACCAAGAGUCCCAUGCUCUGCAGACAGCCCGCCAGGUGCCACAAUUUUCGUUACUUCUUACUAAGCUUCCAGUCUAUUUGCAUUUGGCCAAUUUCAUGGGGAAGAAAACCUCCAAAGCUAGAUGUUAUCUUAAGCUGCAGUCUUUGCAUCUAGAUUCCAAUACGGGUAUUUUUAUCUUUCCAUAAUACGCCUUGUUAUACUCCUUACUUAGUGGCCUCCAUUUUGGUUUCUGCCUGAGAAUGAUUUGAAACAAUAGCUACUGAAAAAAUAAAAUGAAAAAAAAUAAUAAUAGCUACUAGUUUUGCAAGGGGGGACAUGGGCAUAGUGGUGCUGGAGGGAGUAGAAUGGGAUAAUUAUUACCUUUCUAAGCAGGCAGGAAUUGCUUGAGAGAGGCCUGGGUGUGUUCAGACCUCUCCAAAGUGCCAGUCUUUUCCCUUUCUUGCCUUCAUUGGCAUUAAAAUUCUCCUGGGGCUUUUCCAACUCUAAUGGCUCCAGAUUAUUGAAAUUUCUGUCAUAUUUGACUGAGCCCUUAGCAAAAAUGGUCACUUAUAAUAAAGCAGUAUUUUUCCCUCUCAGGCUUAGAUAAAUCAAGCUCAAUCCUAAACUUGAGUCUUUCUUAUAGGACCUAACUGAAAACCAACAGGCCAACAUGUAAUAGUUGGUGUACUCUAGUAUCUGACCUUUUAGUGACAUUUUUUACAUUUCAUACUUGAUAGGCACAUGUUUUGAAUUCUAAUAUACAACAGGUGCCACUUUAAUGUACUACUUUGCUAUUGAAUUCCCAACCCAAUAUAGAUGAGGCCUCAUCUGAAUCAACUGAUUCAACAUUUUAAGAUCUUUCACUUACUAAUCCCCAGUUCUGAUACCAAUUUGUGAAUUGUUAGAGCUAUUUUAGUUGCAGGUGACAAAAUAAAAAACACAAACUGACUUAUACAAAAAAUAUAUUGGCUAUCGGCUCACAUAGCUAAGGAACUAGUGAUAUAUUUAGCUUAAGGCAUAGCUUGAUCCAAGGGCUUAAGCAAUGUCAUUAGAAUUCUAUUUCGUUUCAUCUCUUGGCUCUGUCUUCUGUGUUGGCUUCAUUCUCAGGCUCCAUAUGGUGGCUCCUGGCAGCUCCAGUUCACAUAAUCCUUACUGUUAGGAAUCUCAGUGGAAGAGUACAUGCCUUUUUCCCAGAAGUGCCAGCAAUAAUCUCCUUAUAUUUUAUUGGCUUUGAUUAGGACAUGUGACCAGAAGAAUGACUACUCAUGUUGUUAAGAGUGGAGUCCAGUCUCCCUAAAAGACGUUGACUGAGAGUAAUAGAGGAAAAUAGGGUAUGGUUAUCAAAAGAGUGAAUGCUGAGUGGCAAAAAACCAAAUGUCUCUCAUUAGAUACCAAUGUGUAGCGAUUCCUAAUUGCUUCACAUGUGUUGGUUUUAUCUCCUUCAGUGGACUGUAAGUCUCUCUGGAGCAGGAUCAUGUAUUAUAUGUCUUAACAGUGCCAGCCCAGCAGGCAGUCCUUAGAUACUGGCUGAUUGAUUGCCUCUUCGUGGCACACCAAAGAGGGUAAAAAGAGCUUAAUAAAAGGAUGAUUAACAGAGAUGUGGGAAGGGUUAAGGGAACCCACUAGCAAUGGUAAAGCACUUAACUGGUAACAGUGAGAAGACUUAAGCCUGAAGGAGCAGGGGAAAGGAAAUUUUAAGCGCUAUAGUUUAGAAGGGGAUGUCUGACAAACACUGUGACUAUAAAUAGAGAAAUGCAGCCACUGCCAAUGUGGCCCAGGAGGGGACUGGGAAGUAAACACUUGUCCUCUUUUCCCCCAAUCUCCAGACUUCUGUUGGUACCUCGCAUUGGCCAAACUCAAACAGAAGCUAUAGGGCUUGGAUGAUAGAUAAAGUCUGUAGAGGUCAGCCUUCAGUAUAGAGCAAGGCAAAUAGGGUGAAAGAUGAGUCUGGAGGAGCAAAUGGAAAAUAACCAGGACAUCCUUGUUAUAUUCCUUAGAGCAACCCUCAAUAAAAACCACUCCUGUUUUGUAAGUGUUAACCAUAUAGCCUGAUUUCCCAAGAAAAUAUAAUUUUAUCUUUUCCAAUACAUUUGUUAAAUAUAUAACUAAUGUGGCUUAAUUUUUAUAGCAUUUUAAGACUCUAACAUUCAUGAAUUCAUAAAGCAUGAAAAAUCUUUUGUUAGCCUAUGUAAUUAAAAAACUCUCAUCAUUGUAUUGAUAUGGAACUCCUCAAGAAUAUUGUACCUGGUAAUCCAUCAGAAAGCCCUGGCACAGAACUUAUCAAAUAGUGACAAAUUUGAUAAAUGUUUGAUGAUUUGAAGAAUGAUUAAAUGAAUAAAUUAAAGCAUUUAGAGCCAGACUCUAAGUGGGAAACUAGAUAGGUUUUCCUUGUUCAAGGUUGAUGCUAACUAUAUAACACCUACCAAUCCUGUCUCUUAAAGUCUGACAUUGGCUUCUUAGCUGUUGAUCAAGGUCUUAUCUCAUAGAAAAUGGAACUGCAAUAAAUUUUCUUCGUCAACCUUUAGAAGUAAGAAGUUUUAUAAUUAACUGCCAUGCUAAUAAACUCACUAUAAAGUCCA
This is a long non-coding RNA of Mirounga angustirostris (Northern elephant seal), 5857 nucleotides long. RefSeq lists it as uncharacterized. The record is from RefSeq and is a predicted model, not a curated record. The transcript has 2 exons. NCBI's taxonomy places the organism in Eukaryota, Metazoa, Chordata, Mammalia, Carnivora, Phocidae.